Molecule: ribosomal RNA, 636 nt
Filed under: uncultured bacterium
Lineage: Bacteria
Description: bacterial SSU rRNA
Rfam family: Bacterial small subunit ribosomal RNA
Source: RNAcentral
GAGUUUGAUCAUGGCUCAGAACGAACGCUGGCGGCGUGCCUAACACAUGCAAGUCGAGGGAGAAAAGGGGCUUCGGCUCCUGAGUAAACCGGCGCACGGGUGAGUAACACGUAGGUAACGUACCUUGGAAUCUGGGAUAACCAGUCGAAAGACUGGCUAAUACCGGAUACGACUGUGAGGGCCCCGGCCCUUAUAGUGAAAGACGGCCUCUGUUUACAUGCUGUCGUUCCUGGAUCGGCCUGCGCACCAUUAGCUAGUUGGUGGGGUAACGGCCUACCAAGGCUGAGAUGGUUAGCUGGUCUGAGAGGAUGGCCAGCCACACUGGGACUGAGACACGGCCCAGACUCCUACGGGAGGCAGCAGUGGGGAAUAUUGCGCAGUGGGGGAAACCCUGACGCAGCGACGCCGCGUGGGUGAUGAAGGCCUUCGGGUCGUAAAGCCCUGUCGGGAGGGAAGAAAGAGUCCGGACCUAAUACGUCCGGGAAUUGACGGUACCUCCUAAGGAAGCACCGGCUAACUCCGUGCCAGCAGCCGCGGUAAUACGGAGGGUGCUAGCGUUGUUCGGAAUCACUGGGCGUAAAGGGCGUGUAGGCGGUCUGUUAAGUCUGAUGUGAAAUCCCCUCGCUCAACGAGGGA